AUGGCUCCCGCCUCCCGCCCGCCGACGGCGACGCCGCUGGCCGCAUCCUCAUCCCGGAUAGACUCGCCAUCGCUGAAGGCAGCCCUCGCAAUGGCUCUCAUCCACUACAAACGCCUCCCCUCCACAACCGCCGCCGCCGCCGCCGCCGCAGGCACCUCCUCCCCGCCUCUUAUCCACUGGAAGCGCAAGGCUAAGGAGCGGAAGCGCGAGAUUCUCCGCCUCCGCGAAGAGCUCAAGCUCCUCCAAGAUGGGGUGCGCGGGGAGGCGAUGGAGCCGCCACUUGCGUCAUGCCGCUGCCACUUCUUCGACGGGUGCAGCGACCUGCAGCCGCCGCCUCCAACGGGUGGAGGAGAGCAUUGGGUCGACGAGGUGCUGCGGAGGAGGUUCCUCAGAUUGGCGCGGUGGAAGGAGAAGCGACGGAGACUGGAUCGAUCUCUUCCCGUCACUAGUUUGAUGGAGUUCAAUAGCGAGGAUGAGAUACAACAGCUUAGCUUGUCAACUGAUUUCCUGGUAGAGCUAUCAGAUGGGAUUUUUGCGAAAAGAGAAUCUUGCUCCACAUUUGCUACAUUCUCUCACCAAGCAGUAGACUUCAUUUUGUCUUUACUGAAGAACAUUCUAUCGUCGAAAAGGGAAAAUGAACUGGUUGAGGAGAUAAUUGAUGGUUUAGUGACACGUUUGAUGAAAAGGAUGUGCACCAUUCCUGAAAAUGCUGGUACUUCGGAUUCAGGGCCAGUUGACUGCUCAGAUGCCCAAUUCAAUGUGCAGCACUUGUUCCGCAAGUUAGGAAAUGAAGAGUUCAUUGGUCAGCGGAUAAUCCUUGCAGUUUCUCAAAAGAUCUCAAAUGUAUCAGAAAGCUUGCUUCUCUUAGAUCCAUUUGAUGAUUCCUUCCCUGAUAUGCAUGGCAAUAUGUUCAUUAUGAUUCAAUUAAUUGAGUUCCUCAUAUCUGAUUACAUGAAAAUUUGGCUAUGUUGCGAGCAAUUUGACAAAAAAAUAUUUGAAGAAUGGGUCAGAUCUAUUCUGAAGGCACGCAAAGACCUGGAAGUCCUAGAAAACAUAAAUGGGCUGUAUGUAGUGUACAUUGAGCGAGUGGUCGGAAGGUUGGCGAGGGAGGUGGCUCCUGCUGCUCACCAGGGGAAGCUGGACCUGGAUGUCUUUUCCAAACUCCUGUGCUGA
RNAcentral lists this ribosomal RNA (1173 nucleotides) under Triticum aestivum (bread wheat). RNAcentral's name for it is "partial small subunit ribosomal RNA". The record is from RNAcentral. Lineage: Eukaryota; Viridiplantae; Streptophyta; Magnoliopsida; Poales; Poaceae.